CGCGCAGGCGGUCGGGUUCGUCGCUGGUGAAAGCCCCACGCUCAACGUGGGAAGGUCCGGCGAGACAGCCCGACUGGAGGCAGGGAGAGGUCGGUGGAAUUCCGGGUGUAGUGGUGAAAUGCGUAGAGAUCCGGAGGAACACCAGAGGCGAAGGCGGCCGACUGGACCUGACCUGACGCUGAGGCGCGAAGGCGUGGGGAGCGAACG
RNAcentral lists this ribosomal RNA (207 nucleotides) under uncultured bacterium. RNAcentral describes it as "partial 16S ribosomal RNA". It matches the Rfam family "Bacterial small subunit ribosomal RNA", at positions 568 to 774 of the family's 1533-position model. The record is from RNAcentral.